This 274-nucleotide ribosomal RNA is filed under the name uncultured bacterium. RNAcentral's name for it is "partial 16S ribosomal RNA". It matches the Rfam family "Bacterial small subunit ribosomal RNA", at positions 523 to 796 of the family's 1533-position model. The record is from RNAcentral.
AUACGGAGGGUCCAAGCGUUAUCCGGAUUCAUUGGGUUUAAAGGAUCCGCAGGCGGGAAAAUAAGUCAGUGGUGAAAGCCUACAGCUCAACUGUAGAACUGCCAUUGAAACUGUUUUUCUUGAGUAUAGAUGAAGUGGGCGGAAUAUAUCAUGUAGCGGUGAAAUGCAUAGAUAUGAUAUAGAACACCGAUUGCGAAGGCAGCUCACUAAACUAUUACUGACGCUCAGGGACGAAAGCGUGGGGAGCGAACAGGAUUAGAAACCCUAGUAGUCC